Long non-coding RNA from Thalassophryne amazonica, 156 nucleotides. RefSeq lists it as uncharacterized. The record is from RefSeq and is a predicted model, not a curated record. The transcript is spliced from 4 exons. NCBI's taxonomy places the organism in Eukaryota, Metazoa, Chordata, Actinopteri, Batrachoidiformes, Batrachoididae.
GCAGCCAGGUAGGGGUCAAUUGAAGAAUUAUACAGGGGUCAAAAAUACAAAUGCUCAAAUAAUUUUGAAAACUACUCCACACUAUUUGUCUGAUGAUAGCAAUUCCAAAAAGGUAUAGUUUGGACUAUCUGUGAAUGAAUGUUCUGGAGUUAUGGG